AAUGCUGACAUAAGUAACGAUAAAGCGGGUGAAAAGCCCGCUCGCCGGAAGACCAAGGGUUCCUGUCCAACGUUAAUCGGGGCAGGGUGAGUCGACCCCUAAGGCGAGGCCGAAAGGCGUAGUCGAUGGGAAACGGGUUAAUAUUCCCGUACUUGGUGUUACUGCGAAGGGGGGACGGAGAAGGCUAUGUUGGCCGGGCGACGGUUGUCCCGGUUUAAGCGUGUAGGUGUGUGUUCCAGGUAAAUCCGGUUCACUUUAACACUGAGGCGUGACGACGAGGCACUACGGUGCUGAAGCAACAAAUGCCCUGCUUCCAGGAAAAGCCUCUAAGCAUCAGGUAACAUCAAAUCGUACCCCAAACCGACACAGGUGGUCAGGUAGAGAAUACCAAGGCGCUUGAGAGAACUCGGGUGAAGGAACUAGGCAAAAUGGUGCCGUAACUUCGGGAGAAGGCACGCUGACAUGUAGGUGAAGUGAUUUACUCA
This 485-nucleotide ribosomal RNA is filed under the name Salmonella enterica subsp. enterica serovar Saintpaul. RNAcentral describes it as "partial 23S ribosomal RNA". It matches the Rfam family "Bacterial large subunit ribosomal RNA", at positions 1293 to 1773 of the family's 2925-position model. Lineage: Bacteria; Pseudomonadati; Pseudomonadota; Gammaproteobacteria; Enterobacterales; Enterobacteriaceae. The record is from RNAcentral.